GACGAACGCUGGCGGCGUGCUUAACACAUGCAAGUCGAACGGAUUGGCGAUCGGGUGAGUAACACGUUGGUGACCUCCCCUGCACUUCUGGAUAAGCCUGGGGCACUGGGUCUAAUACCGGAACGUGUGGUAUGGGCCCGCGGCCUAUCAGCUUGUUGGUGGGUUAAUGGCCUACCAAGGCGGCGACUGGUAGCCGGCCUGCGAGGGUGGACGUCCACAUUGGGCCUGAGACACGGACCAGAGGGCUACGGGAGGCAGCAGUGGGGAAUAUUGCGCAAUGGGCGGAAGCCUGAUGCAGCGACGCCGCGUGGGGGAUGACGGCUUUCGGGUUGUAAACUCCUUUCACCAUCGACGCGGUAGAUGGAGAAGAAGCACCGGCUAACUACGUGCCAGCAGCCGCGGUAAUAC
Molecule: ribosomal RNA, 408 nt
Filed under: uncultured bacterium
Lineage: Bacteria
Description: partial 16S ribosomal RNA
Rfam family: Bacterial small subunit ribosomal RNA
Source: RNAcentral